This 448-nucleotide long non-coding RNA is filed under the name Mus pahari (shrew mouse). RNAcentral describes it as "lncRNA (MGP_PahariEiJ_G0005204.1)". The record is from RNAcentral. Lineage: Eukaryota; Metazoa; Chordata; Mammalia; Rodentia; Muridae.
ACGUGGGCAACUGGAGUUCCUGAUGAGGAAGUGAUAAAAGAGCGAGCAAGGUAGGAGGGGUUGCUAUGCAGCAGGAAGCUGCACAUGCGCAACUGGAGUUCAAAGAAAGACAGAUGACAUCGAGGCAAGACCUAGAAGCCAGCGGGAGCAAACAAAAUAAAAGUUGACUGGAGCGUGGACACAGGAGCGUGGGCACAGAAGCGUGGACACACAGCCCUAGACUGGAGCGUGGACACACAGCUCCUUACCUCAAAGCGGGUAAGGAAAUUCUGAGAACAGAUGUUGACGGAAGUUGACCUUCAACCAAAACCUGUGCAUUCAGAAAGUACCGACCACAGCUUCCUCCCCCAGAUGACUGUAGCCUGAAACUGCUCCUUCACAGAGACCACCUAUGGAGAUAAGCUGAGCCAUCUCUUCAUCUGUGCCAUAUCUCAUAAACACAUUGAGC